GACGAACGCUGGCGGCGUGCCUAAUACAUGCAAGUUGAGCGAUGAAGAUUGGUGCUUGCACCCAUUUGAAGAGCAGCGAACGGGUGAGUAACGCGUGGGGAAUCUGCCUUUGAGCGGGGGACAACAUUUGGAAACGAAUGCUAAUACCGCAUAACAACUUUAAACAUAAGUUUUAAGUUUGAAAGAUGCAAUUGCAUCACUCAAAGAUGAUCCCGCGUUGUAUUAGCUAGUUGGUGAGGUAAAGGCUCACCAAGGCGAUGAUACAUAGCCGACCUGAGAGGGUGAUCGGCCACAUUGGGACUGAGACACGGCCCAAACUCCUACGGGAGGCAGCAGUAGGGAAUCUUCGGCAAUGGACGAAAGUCUGACCGAGCAACGCCGCGUGAGGGAAGAAGGUUUUCGGAUCGUAAAACUCUGUUGGUAGAGAAGAACGUUGGUGAGAGUGGAAAGCUCAUCAAGUGACGGUAACUACCCAGAAAGGGACGGCUAACUACGUG
RNAcentral lists this ribosomal RNA (497 nucleotides) under uncultured bacterium. Its description in RNAcentral is "partial 16S ribosomal RNA". It matches the Rfam family "Bacterial small subunit ribosomal RNA", at positions 28 to 507 of the family's 1533-position model. The record is from RNAcentral.